AUUCUCUCUUUGCCUGCUGCCAUCCAUGUAAGAUGGGGCUUGCUCUCCACCAUGAUUUUUAGGCUUCCCCAGCCAACUGAAACUAGUCUUUUAGAAUCCAUUCACAGGACUUGAAUCCUGGAUCUGAGUUUGCAAAAGAAAUGAAGCUAAUGAAAGACAAGGAACUUCUGGUCUUAGUUGAGAUGCAAAAAGAAUUUCAAGGAGAAGUCAAGGAACAAAAAACAAUGGCCAAAAUCAUGCUCUUCCUCACGGAUGACUUUACUUGCUUUCCCCACCAACUGAAUUUGAAAUCACUGUUAUGUGCUCCCAUGAUACCUUUAACUCCAUGAAUUUCAUCCACCAUAUAAUAAGGUAGAUGAUAUUCAUUUCCCACCAGGUGAAAGCUCUCAAGUCUGGAAGUCCUAAAUCAAGCUGAGGGCUGAGCCACGCUUCUUCCAAAGCUUCCAGGAGAGGACCCUUCUUUGCCUCUUCCAGCUUCUGGAAAACAUUUCCAUCUGGCUUUCCUCUGUCUGACUUAAACAAUGAUUUUCCAUCCUACCUGAACAUUAUAAUCAUCUGGAAGA
RNAcentral lists this long non-coding RNA (563 nucleotides) under Homo sapiens (human). RNAcentral's name for it is "long independently transcribed non-coding RNA 3096 (LINC03096)". Lineage: Eukaryota; Metazoa; Chordata; Mammalia; Primates; Hominidae. The record is from RNAcentral.